RNAcentral lists this ribosomal RNA (235 nucleotides) under uncultured Actinomycetales bacterium. Its description in RNAcentral is "partial 16S ribosomal RNA". It matches the Rfam family "Bacterial small subunit ribosomal RNA", at positions 96 to 334 of the family's 1533-position model. Lineage: Bacteria; Bacillati; Actinomycetota; Actinomycetes; Actinomycetales. The record is from RNAcentral.
UGGCGAACUGGUGAGUAACACGUGGGUGAUCUGCCCUGCACUCUGGGAUAAGCCUGGGAAACUGUGUCUAAUACCGGAUAGGACCAUGCUUUAGUGUGUGUGGCGGAAAGUUUUUUCGGUGUAGGAUGAGCCCGCGGCCUAUCAGCUUGUUGGUGGGGUAAUGGCCUACCAAGGCGGCGACGGGUAGCCGGACUGAGAGGUUGGUCGGCCACAUUGGGACUGAGAUACGGCCCAG